UAGGGCGAAAGCCUGAAGCAGCAACGCCGCGUGCGUGAUGAAGGUCUUCGGAUCGUAAAGCGCUUUUCUGGGAGAUGAGAAAGGACAGUAUCCCAGGAAUAAGUCUCGGCUAACUACGUGCCAGCAGCCGCGGUAAAACGUAGGAGGCAAGCGUUAUCCGGAUUCACUGGGCGUAAAGCGCGUGCAGGCGGUGCGGUAAGUUGGGUGUGAAAUCUCCCGGCUCAACUGGGAGAGGUCAUUCAAUACUACCGUACUCGAGAGUAGAAGAGGAAGAUGGAAUUCCCGGUGUAGUGGUGAAAUGCGUAGAUAUCGGGAGGAACACCAGUGGCGAAGGCGAUCUUCUGGUCUAUUUCUGACGCUCAGACGCGACAGCUAGGGUAGUAAACGGGAUUAGAGACCCCGGUAAUCCUAGCCGUAAACGAUGUGAACUUGGCGUUGGUGGGUUAAACUCCAUCAGUGCCGCAGCAAACGUGAUAAGUUCACCGCCUGGGGACUACGGCCGCAAGGUUA
This 510-nucleotide ribosomal RNA is filed under the name uncultured Chloroflexota bacterium. Its description in RNAcentral is "bacterial SSU rRNA". It matches the Rfam family "Bacterial small subunit ribosomal RNA", at positions 371 to 896 of the family's 1533-position model. The record is from RNAcentral. Lineage: Bacteria; Bacillati; Chloroflexota.